UCUCCCUUUGUGUGCUUGUUGAAUUGUCCGUGCUUAUCUCUGUCUAUUUUCUGUACAUCUGAAUUGCGGUAGGUGUUGAUAGAAAUUGACAUUUCACCCUGUUGCCAGUCUCUUCCAAUCAAUGAAAUGUCACAGCCGUCUUUCAUGUGCUCUGUUUUCUUUCCCCCAGGCCUCCCUUUUUUUGUUACCCCAUUCUUGCGAACUCAAUAUCUGAGGACGGCCUUCAAUGACUUUCUUCAAAUUUUGGCACAAACAUAAACUUCAAGGUUGAACCGGUUACAUUUUGGUGGUCAAAUGGCACUUUGACAUCACAAAGCAAGAGGAGGAUCUUUUCCGGCCGCCCUCUCCUCCUCCCGCAUCGUCCACUACUCGGAGCACCAGUGCAGCCAGCUGGGCGACGAAAACAAAGGUCUUUCAGCAGACCAGCCAAGCAGCAGAAGACAGGACAACAGCAGUGGAACAACAACAACAACAAUAUAAAUCAAUGAAGUCUCCUGACCUCAUCUGAUUAUUCACUGCUGAAGUACACUGCAGCUAUUCUCUACCAUUUAUGCUCAACUCUCACGAAAUCCGUCGAUGACAAUAGGUUUCCUGAGGCGGCGCGCGUCCUCCUGACCUGGCUGGAACGAGGUGAAGUCAACCGCGCGAACGCCAACAACUUGUACUCCGUGAUCCGAUCGUCUCAACGGCCACAUCCGCAGGCCGACGGGCGAGAAGAGAGGUGGAGGAGGCCAAAGAGAAGUUCACUUUCCUAUUUCUCUAAUAGCUUCCCAAGCGGAGGCCUUAAAAGAGGAGAACGGCUCUCUCUCCACUGCCAGCUGGACGCCUACAGGAACGGGGUGGAGCUCCUCAGUUCCUGUUCUCCUCAGAACAGGAACAAGGCAAGAAGCACCCAAUGAGCAGCGAGGAGGACACCACACACUCAGAGCAGCUCAGCUUCCUGCAGCAGGCCCUGCAUGCAGAAGGGAUGCGCGUUCACCCGUUUGGAGCCAGCAUCGAAUAUGUCUGUUCCUACCUGCAGCAUUUGGACAACAAGGUAACUCUCCAUCACACACACACACACACACACACAGAUAAGGGUUUCAUAGACAUAGUGACGCAGAUUCAAUUUCCCUGCACACAGAAAAAAAAAGGUUCUUAAAUGGUUAUUUAGGAGGCAGUGUGGUUCUACAAAGAACCAUCACCUACUUAAGAACCAUUUUAUCUAUUAAAUGGUUUUACACGCUUUUCAUAUGGUUCUUAGGGAUAUUAAAUGGUUCUUUGAGAUAUUAAAGGGUUCUUAAUUCAUGUUCACAUUUGCCUUCCUCAUUUAAAAACAGCUAAUAUUAAUAUAUUUGGAAAAAUACAGGUAAUUCUACUUUGGUACAGCCUCUCACUCUAACAGUAGCUGUUUUCCAGAAAAUUCAAAGGGGGAAAGUUAUGAAGGAAAACAUAAACCAAUCACGACCGUGAGAUAUCCGUCCGUCCCGCCUACUCCCUUCUUGACUGACCAACUUUUCACACCAGUAACCCCCAACUAAGAUAUUGGUUAUUACAGAAAAGUAUUGCUCUUGUUUUGUGUCACAGUCAUCUUAUCCGAAUGUCUGAAUAAGCUAACAUUAGUAUACAUACAAUAUUGGGGCCUGUAGCUUGGCUGGAAGCUCCAGAUUUCCCUAGUUUUUGGGUGCCGCAUAGAAUGUUAAUGUUUUAACAAUCGUCAGGUUUUUAAAACUGUUAAUUUUGGAUUUCGGAUUUUUUUCCAAUGGUACCUUGAGUGUUAGCUAGCUAACAUUAGUUAACUAAUGUUAAUAUCCUUUGUUGCACUAAUGUUUACUAAAAACUUAACAGAGCUGCUAUGCUACUGCCUGUGGGAUUUAUUUAAGAUAUCAAUAGCUGAUUAACUAACAAGGGGUUAUGCUGCUGCAAUCUAGAUGUAAACUAUCAACUAUUCUUUAUUAAAUUUUUUUUACCAAUUUAAAAAACGAUGCCCUUGUUACAUGCGCCAUUAACUCAAUGCAAUGUUAUGUUAAUGUUAGCUAACUCCACACGAUUAAAAAUGCCACUAUUUUGUGCUUGCUUGUCUUGUUUGUAGCUGUAGCUUGCAAGGUCAGAAAGCUACACAUUAUUUAAUGUAGUGACACAAACAGGCUUUCAUUUACGCUUUUUGACCAACUGUGGAAGAUGAAACGGGACACUGUUUGAAAUGUUUCUCAAGAGACAGCGCAGUAACUUUCUCAGCAGUGACGUGUUACAGCAGACAACAAUAGUAAUGGAUUUUAUGUUUUUUUAAGAUAGCUGUAGACAUUUUCGGAUAAUAGUCUACUUCUAUUACACAGAAUCUGUUAAUACAAAGUUCAAAUGAACACAUGUGUGGCUACUGUCAACUGUAUCUCUGUCUGAGUGUUUAUGAUGAUAGAAAGUAAAAUUACGUUUAUUAAUUGUGCUUUUCUUUUACUCAAGCAUAUUGAUUGAGGAAAUGACCAAUCGAUGGAGAGUUGGCAAGGUCUCUCUUUGACUGGAACAGAAUGGUCUUAAAGAAUAUGUCUGACUGAGAAAGUGACAUACAGUGACUGUAUUGGUAUAGGCUCAAUCAUGCACGGUUUGAUAUAUAAGAGGCCAGACAUGUCAAGAAUAGUUCAAGAUUUUGGGAAAUAUGUUUAUUGCAGUCAGAUUAGAAGAUUGCCACAACUUAUUGUUUUUGCGCUGAAUAAACAAAGUAGCGUGAGGAUGUUACUUGAUGAGGUUUAAAAGUAUUCAGGUUUGCUCAAGCUUCAUAUUUAGCUUACCAACGUGAGUGAUAUGCAUCUCGCACGCUUCUCAUCGAACGUGCUACAAUAAAAAACUUUAUAGCAUUUUCCAGAAUAUCUGUUUUGCACGUGUUUGGCACAUGGUGAUGUUGUGUUUUAGAUUCUGUCUGUGGCUGUUUGACUGUCGUAUCUGUUGUUUCCACACUGACUGCACAUCAAGCAGCCCACAGCGCUUUGUCAAUACCUCCUGCUGAACUGCCCAUCAACAAGCCCAAUCCUCCCUGCUUAUCUACCGGCACCACACACGGCUCCAUUGUCUGUAAUGAUACAGCGGUUUCGUUUCCAUGAUGGGCCUUAAUGCAUCCUUACAUCAGCACUGGGUUUGAAUAACCUAGUUAUUAAUGAAAGACAAGACAGGGCUCCCUACGGCAGCUUCUACAGUGGAUUUCUGUUUCUACUGUCACCUUGCUGCUUACUCUCAGCCCACGCGAGUGGCGUGAGGGCUCUAAUGUGGCUCAUAUUGUCUUCACACUUGCUCUUUUGAUCUGAGUUAAGUGGAAGUGUGAGAACCGAGUGUAAGCAUACCGAAAAUGAAGAGCAGAGGUGUAAGACGAUGUGCGAGAUUGUCUCUGUUCAUUUGUGUGCAAAAGUAGUUAUGGGUGACGAAUAUCUACGUGCAACACCAGCGAGGUUGAGGCUCUUCUCGCUCGGCUGCUUUGCACCCACGGACAGGAGAUAACCGGCAUCAGCGCCAGUCUUGAGAAACGCUGGAAGUUCUGCGGCAUCAAAGGCAUGACUCUUGCCGCUGACGGGUCUUCUGGGAGAUGGAAGAGACAAGACGGGUACACAAGUCUGCACAGGUACACGGAGGACACUCCAGAAAUGAAGGAUGCCCCCAGCUAAUGGAGAUGCUGGGCUGCACCUGCAAAGACAAGAGCACAAACGAUACACCACGGAUCUCCGAUCAGGAACGGUUGUUGCCUGUGGGUCUUUUGUGAUGGCAAAUUAUUUUGCGGCAUUUCUCUAUAGCAAGAAGUGGGUGUAUCUCAUACCGUGUCAUAGCGCACUCUCUCUUGUUCACUAAAGGUAAGAAAGUCCUAAUCUCACAGGACUGGUUUGAUUUUUAUACCCAUGCCCACAGUGGACUCACUGGCAGACCAGAAUACGUGCUCUACAUUGGAGGUCAUCAGGGUCCACUUGUAGGCCACCGUUUGAGUGAGUACAAUCACUUGAAAAAAACAGAUGCAGUGUUCAGGUUUGAAUUUCGGUUGUUUAGAAAUAUCCGUGUUAAAUUACACUCCGAUGUAGUUCUCAAAAGGACAAUGAGACUAAUCAGCAAAACGGGUAAUCAAGAAUGUUAUGAU
Molecule: non-coding RNA, 4090 nt
Organism: Gasterosteus aculeatus aculeatus (three-spined stickleback)
Lineage: Eukaryota; Metazoa; Chordata; Actinopteri; Perciformes; Gasterosteidae
Source: RefSeq, a predicted model, not a curated record